AUUGAACGCUGGCGGCAUGCUUUACACAUGCAAGUCGAACGGCAGCGCGGGGGCAACCCUGGCGGCGAGUGGCGAACGGGUGAGUAAUGCAUCGGAACGUAUCCUGUAAUGGGGGAUAACGUAGCGAAAGUUACGCUAAUACCGCAUACGCUCGAGAGAGGAAAAUGGGGAUCGCAAGACCUCACGUUAUAGGAGCGGCCGAUGUCCGAUUAGCUAGUUGGUGGGUAAAGGCCUACCAAGGCGACGACCGGUAGCUGGUCUGAGAGGAUGAUCAGCCACACUGGGACUGAGACACGGCCCAGACUCCUACGGGAGGCAGCAGUGGGGGAAUUUUGGACAAUGGGCGAAAGCCUGAUCCAGCCAUGCCGCGUGCGGGAAGAAGGCC
RNAcentral lists this ribosomal RNA (385 nucleotides) under uncultured bacterium. RNAcentral's name for it is "bacterial SSU rRNA". It matches the Rfam family "Bacterial small subunit ribosomal RNA", at positions 29 to 416 of the family's 1533-position model. The record is from RNAcentral.